This is a long non-coding RNA of Bactrocera dorsalis (oriental fruit fly), 526 nucleotides long. RefSeq lists it as uncharacterized. The transcript is spliced from 2 exons. The record is from RefSeq and is a predicted model, not a curated record. Lineage: Eukaryota; Metazoa; Arthropoda; Insecta; Diptera; Tephritidae.
AUAAGCCCUCGAGUAACUUCGUAAAUGUUUAGUGAAAAAGAACUGUCUUCGGUGCUUGUUAGGUUUGUUUUAGAAUAGUUUAUCGAGGAUGAUGUCUAAGAAUUUUGGUAUUUCUUUACUAGUGGCAUUAUUAAUCGUAACUCAACUAUCAAAAGGCUCGGCUGAUCCACCUUCUGAUACAGGAAAUACAACAGAUAGCUUUGUCCUCAUUGGCUCUAAUAGAGUAUUCACUUCGACGUCUGGUAAUGAGAGUACAGAUACACCUACAAGUAUUUUGGCAUACAAUGAUCGUGGUGACUUCGCCUUUAGCUCCAUUACAAGGUAGAUAUGUGAAGUAAAAUGAAGAACGGGACCACUGAUGUCAUAUGCAAAAUGUUUAAAAACUUAAUGAAUAUCGAAUUGUGUAAAAUUAAAAAAAAACUUCUGAUAAUAUAUAAAAUUGCAAAAUUGUUGCUUAAUGUACAUAUAUAAAAUAAUAAAAAAAUAACUUAGUAAUUCCAGUUAACUGGAUCUGUGUGAGUCACAA